This 562-nucleotide long non-coding RNA is filed under the name Elaeis guineensis (African oil palm). Its description in RNAcentral is "long non-coding RNA (EGUI_LNC071951)". Lineage: Eukaryota; Viridiplantae; Streptophyta; Magnoliopsida; Arecales; Arecaceae. The record is from RNAcentral.
CCGAGCUACUUGAAUUUUUAAUGCAGUGACGGAAGGCUACUGGGUACAGUCAAGUACUUGCAAAUCUGUGUGUAGAUCAAGAUAGGAUUGACCCCUACAGAUUAUUGGAGUUGAUGUAUCAUUGUAUUUCAAUUUAGUAAAGCCUUGGCUAGGGUAAUCCAUGAGAUAGAUUUGAAAGAUUGAAAUACAAUAUGGAUGAAGCAAUCUCGAUUGAUAGUUAACCUAAGACCAUCCUAGAGCAUUCAGGAUCAAAAGGAUGAAUUAUACAGUAACUGUGAGUAUAGGUUCUGAAAUAUUUUUUUAUAAUAAUUUGAUCUAUCUGGACAUCGAAAACCAUUGCUAGAUGGUAUUUCGAUUAGUGCAGGAAUUGGUUCUUAUGCUACCGAUUUAGUAUUUGAACCUAUGGAAUCAUGCACACAAGUCAGACAAAGUAGGAAGGAAUUGACCUAUGUUUAUAUGUUCAAUCUGAAAGUACUUGACUUGAUUAAAUAUAUAAGCUAACUUGAUUGAGAAUUGAGUUAUGGGUCAAAUAAAAUUGAAAAGUUGACUAUGUCUAGCUAGC